Molecule: ribosomal RNA, 652 nt
Filed under: human gut metagenome
Description: bacterial SSU rRNA
Rfam family: Bacterial small subunit ribosomal RNA
Source: RNAcentral
GAGAGGUUAGCGGAACUCCAUGUGUAGCGGUGAAAUGCGUAGAUAUAUGGAAGAACACCAGUGGCGAAGGCGGCUAACUAGCCCGAGACUGACGCUCAUUCUCGAAAGCGUGGGUAGCAAAUAGGAUUAGAUACCCUAGUAGUCCACGCCGUAAACGAUGAGUACUAGGUGUUGGGGAAACUCAGCGCCGAAGUUAACACAAUAAGUACUCCGCCUGGGUAGUACGUUCGCAAGAAUGAAACUUAAAGGAAUUGACGGGGGCCCGCACAAGCAGUGGAGCAUGUGGUUUAAUUCGACGCUACGCGAAGAACCUUACCAGGACUUGACAUCUGAUUAAAGGCUCUAGAGAUAGAGAGAUAGUUAUAGUCAAGACAGGUGGUGCAUGGUUGUCGUCAGCUCGUGUCGUGAGAUGUUGGGUUAAGUCCCGCAACGAGCGCAACCCUCGUCCUUAGUUGCCAUCAUUAAGUUGGGGACUCUAAGGAGACCGCCGGUAUAAGCCGGAGGAAGAUGGGGAUGACGUCAAAUCAUCAUGCCCUUUAUGUCCUGGGCGACACACGUGCUACAAUGGCCGGUACAAAGAGAAGCAAGACCGCGAGGUGGAGCGAAUCUCAUAAAGCCGGUCUCAGUUCGGAUUGGAGUCUGCAACUCGACU